Molecule: non-coding RNA, 76 nt
Organism: Crenichthys baileyi (White River springfish)
Lineage: Eukaryota; Metazoa; Chordata; Actinopteri; Cyprinodontiformes; Goodeidae
Source: the annotation of a GenBank genome assembly
GCAAGAGUAGCUCAGUGGGAAGAGUAGUCGUCUUGCAAUUGGAAAGUUGUGGAUUCGAUUCCAGCUUCCUCUUGCU